GACGAACGCUGGCGGCGUGCCUAAUACAUGCAAGUCGAGCGGACGGAUGGGAGCUUGCUCCCAGACCGUCAGCGGCGGACGGGUGAGUAACACGUGGGCAACCUGCCUGUAAGACUGGGAUAACUCCGGGAAACCGGGGCUAAUACCGGAUAACUCUUUCCCUCACAUGAGGGAAAGCUGAAAGAUGGCAUCUCGCUAUUACUUACAGAUGGGCCCGCGGCGCAUUAGCGAGUUGGUGAGGUAACGGCUCACCAAGGCGACGAUGCGUAGCCGACCUGAGAGGGUGAUCGGCCACACGGGGACUGAGACACGGCCCAGACUCCUACGGGAGGCAGCAGUAGGGAAUCUUCGGCAAUGGACGAAAGUCUGACGGAGCGGCGCCGCGUGAGUGAUGAAGGUGUUCGGAUCGUAAAACUCUGUUGUCAGGGAAGAACAAGUACCGGAGUAACCGCCGGUACCUUGACGGUACCUGACCAGAAAGCCACGGCUAACUACGUG
Molecule: ribosomal RNA, 498 nt
Filed under: uncultured bacterium
Lineage: Bacteria
Description: partial 16S ribosomal RNA
Rfam family: Bacterial small subunit ribosomal RNA
Source: RNAcentral